UACGAAGGGGGCUAGCGUUGUUCGGAAUUACUGGGCGUAAAGCGCGUGUAGGCGGGCCGUUAAGUCGGGGGUGAAAGCCCGGAGCUCAACUCUGGAACUGCCUUCGAUACUGGCGGCCUGGAGCAUGAUAGAGGCGAGUGGAAUUGCGAGUGUAGAGGUGAAAUUCGUAGAUAUUCGCAGGAACACCAGUGGCGAAGGCGACUCGCUGGAUCAUUGCUGACGCUGAGGCACGAAAGCGUGGGGAGCGAACAGG
This 253-nucleotide ribosomal RNA is filed under the name uncultured bacterium. RNAcentral's name for it is "partial 16S ribosomal RNA". It matches the Rfam family "Bacterial small subunit ribosomal RNA", at positions 524 to 776 of the family's 1533-position model. The record is from RNAcentral.